CGUCCUCGGCCGAUACACAGCGGGAAGAGUAGUGACUCGCGAGGCACAGUGGCACCACGUACGCCUCGGGCGAAGUGCGAGGAGCGUGUUGUGCUGUGGGCAGCUUGCUUGUGAGUAUGCUCAAGCGAGAAGGAUGAGCACGGAAGACGCACGC
This 154-nucleotide unclassified non-coding RNA is filed under the name Rhodotorula toruloides. Lineage: Eukaryota; Fungi; Basidiomycota; Microbotryomycetes; Sporidiobolales; Sporidiobolaceae. The record is from RNAcentral.